RNAcentral lists this ribosomal RNA (254 nucleotides) under uncultured bacterium. RNAcentral's name for it is "partial 16S ribosomal RNA". It matches the Rfam family "Bacterial small subunit ribosomal RNA", at positions 524 to 777 of the family's 1533-position model. The record is from RNAcentral.
UACGAAGGGGGCUAGCGUUGUUCGGAAUUACUGGGCGUAAAGCGCACGUAGGCGGAUUGUUAAGUUAGGGGUGAAAUCCCAGGGCUCAACCCUGGAACUGCCUUUAAUACUGGCAAUCUCGAGUCCGAGAGAGGUGAGUGGAAUUCCGAGUGUAGAGGUGAAAUUCGUAGAUAUUCGGAGGAACACCGGUGGCGAAGGCGGCUCACUGGCUCGGUACUGACGCUGAGGUGCGAAAGCGUGGGGAGCAAACAGGG